Molecule: long non-coding RNA, 832 nt
Organism: Rosa rugosa (rugosa rose)
Lineage: Eukaryota; Viridiplantae; Streptophyta; Magnoliopsida; Rosales; Rosaceae
Exons: 3
Source: RefSeq, a predicted model, not a curated record
UGAGAGGAUUAUUGAAAUGCAGGGAGAAACCUUAAAGGUGCUCAAAGCUCUAGAAGCAGUAGUGUCUUACCUGAGGAAGUUUUUGGUUGAUCAUAGUGUUCUUCCUCUUUUUGAGAAAACUUACACUGCUCCAGUUUCUCAAGAACGCCAACCAGAUCCCUGGGCUGACAAGUCGUUGCUUCAUACUGCAACUCAGCCGUGAGUCGCAAUUGGAAUCACAACUCCCAUCCUCUGGACUUUCCAUUUAUGGACAAGAGGCUUCUCUUUCUUCAAUACGUUCUUCAGGACUUGGCCGUCCUGGUGCUCCUAUUGUUACUCAGGGCCUUGGAUUACAAGUUGUGAAAUAUUUGGCUGCCAAAUAUGAAGAGCUAGGGUGUGAAGUGAAAUGGAUGGGCAAGCCUGAUAAGGUGAUCUAGUCACAUUGGUCUGGUUACCGGUGUUAACUUCACUUCAUGUGAACCUUUAGCUUAAUACAUAUUUCUCUUGCACUUGACUGCCAAGAUGAAUUUUGAGCAAGGCUAGUUUUUGCUUUGAAGCAAAGUUUGGUGUUGAAAUUUUGUAGAUUGUUGCUCAUAUGUUUCUAGGCUAGCCUUUGUAGGUUUUGGGGUUUUCUUUUGUGACAUAUGUUCAAUCAUGAAUUUGGAAAGAAAAUUAAUGGAAAGCCCCAAUUUUUGGAUGAUUAUGAAAUGCAUUUCUUUUCCUAGCAGCAGCUAGAUGCAAACUUAGCUCAUCACGCUUGUCAAAAUGAAGUGAAGUAUAUAAAAGCAUAACAAAACAGUAAUGCCAAGGAAAACGAAGUCACUUGAGAGUUUAGAAAUCAGUAUCAAAAUGA